AGAGUUUGAUCCUGGCUCAGAACGAACGCUGGCGGCAGGCCUAACACAUGCAAGUCGAACGAAGUCUUCGGACUUAGUGGCGGACGGGUGAGUAACGCGUGGGAAUUUGCCCAGGGGUACGGAACAACCACGGGAAACUGUGGCUAAUACCGUAUACGCUCUUCGGAGGAAAGAAUUUCGCCCUUGGAUAAGCCCGCGUCCGAUUAGGUAGUUGGUGGGGUAACGGCCUACCAAGCCUACGAUCGGUAGCUGGUCUGAGAGGAUGAUCAGCCACACUGGGACUGAGACACGGCCCAGACUCCUACGGGAGGCAGCAGUGGGGAAUAUUGGACAAUGGGGGCAACCCUGAUCCAGCCAUGCCGCGUGCGUGAAGAAGGCCUUAGGGUUGUAAAGCGCUUUCACCCGUGAAGAUGAUGACGGUAACGGGAGAAGAAGCCCCGGCUAACUCCGUGCCAGCAGCCGCGGUAAUACGGAGGGGGCUAGCGUUGUUCGGAAUUACUGGGCGUAAAGGGCGCGCAGGCGGCCGGUCAAGUUGGGGGUGAAAGGCCCGGGCUCAACCUGGGAACUGCCUUCAAAACUGAUCGGCUUGAAUCCGGGAGAGGUGAGUGGAAUUCCCAGUGUAGAGGUGAAAUUCGUAGAUAUUGGGAAGAACACCGGUGGCGAAGGCGACUCACUGGACCGGUAUUGACGCUGAGGCGCGAAAGCGUGGGGAGCAA
RNAcentral lists this ribosomal RNA (716 nucleotides) under uncultured bacterium. RNAcentral describes it as "bacterial SSU rRNA". It matches the Rfam family "Bacterial small subunit ribosomal RNA", at positions 8 to 771 of the family's 1533-position model. The record is from RNAcentral.